Molecule: ribosomal RNA, 184 nt
Filed under: uncultured eukaryote
Lineage: Eukaryota
Description: partial Bacterial small subunit ribosomal RNA
Rfam family: Bacterial small subunit ribosomal RNA
Source: RNAcentral
GUUUGAUCAUGGCUCAGAUUGAACGCUGGCGGCAGGCCUAACACAUGCAAGUCGAACGGAAACAUGUCUAGCUUGCUAGAUGAUGUCGAGUGGCGGACGGGUGAGUAAUGCUUGGGAACUUGCCUUUGCGAGGGGGAUAACAGUUGGAAACGACUGCUAAUACCGCAUAAUGUCUUCGGACCAA